GUCUUCGUAGCUCAGUUGGUCAGAGCGUCCGACUGUUAGCUCUACUUCAGUCGCCCAUCGGGAGGUCGACAGUUCAAACCUGUCCGAGGACG
Non-coding RNA from Rhodotorula graminis WP1, 92 nucleotides. The record is from the annotation of a RefSeq genome assembly. NCBI's taxonomy places the organism in Eukaryota, Fungi, Basidiomycota, Microbotryomycetes, Sporidiobolales, Sporidiobolaceae.